Molecule: unclassified non-coding RNA, 237 nt
Filed under: Hevea brasiliensis (rubber tree)
Lineage: Eukaryota; Viridiplantae; Streptophyta; Magnoliopsida; Malpighiales; Euphorbiaceae
Source: RNAcentral
CCCAUAUAUAUUUGCACCAGCCACAAAUAUAUGUGUCUUCCGGUUGAAACCAAGAGCAGCAAGCAUAAGUACUGCUUCUUCAGGUGUCAAUGGACACAGGCCUUCUGACCUGAGCACUGAUGGAGAAAGCCUUUUUGUCUUCUCAAUAAGUGCCAAUGCAGGGAAAUGAAUUGCACGGUAUGCUUCCAACACUUUUCUCUCUUCUUCACCACCACCAUAUUCACAUAAAGAAUGUGC